Molecule: ribosomal RNA, 397 nt
Filed under: uncultured bacterium
Lineage: Bacteria
Description: bacterial SSU rRNA
Rfam family: Bacterial small subunit ribosomal RNA
Source: RNAcentral
UAAUACGUAGGGUGCGAGCGUUGUCCGGAAUUACUGGGCGUAAAGAGCUCGUAGGCGGUUUGUCACGUCGUCUGUGAAAUCCCUCGGCUUAACCGGGGGCGUGCAGGCGAUACGGGCAGACUUGAGUACUACAGGGGAGACUGGAAUUCCUGGUGUAGCGGUGAAAUGCGCAGAUAUCAGGAGGAACACCGGUGGCGAAGGCGGGUCUCUGGGUAGUAACUGACGCUGAGGAGCGAAAGCAUGGGUAGCGAACAGGAUUAGAUACCCUGGUAGUCCAUGCCGUAAACGGUGGGCGCUAGGUGUGGGGUCCUUCCACGGACUCCGUGCCGUAGCUAACGCAUUAAGCGCCCCGCCUGGGGAGUACGGCCGCAAGGCUAAAACUUAAAUGAAUUGACGG